GCGUCCGUAGCUCAGCUGGAUAGAGCGCCGGACUUCGAAUCCGUAGGUCGCAGGUUCGAAUCCUGCCGGACGUA
RNAcentral lists this transfer RNA (74 nucleotides) under Sediminispirochaeta smaragdinae DSM 11293. Its description in RNAcentral is "tRNA-Arg (TCG) (tRNA-Arg-TCG-1-1)". It matches the Rfam family "tRNA". Rfam says of the family: Transfer RNA (tRNA) molecules are approximately 80 nucleotides in length. Lineage: Bacteria; Pseudomonadati; Spirochaetota; Spirochaetia; Spirochaetales; Spirochaetaceae. The record is from Rfam by way of RNAcentral. RNAcentral also lists the same sequence under 6 other names.